AUUGAACGCUAGCGGGAUGCUUUACACAUGCAAGUCGAACGAGUGGCGGACUGGUGAGUAAUAUAUUGGAACGUGCCCAGUAGCGGGGUAUAACUACUCGAAAGCUUGGCUAAUACUGCUUACUAUUGUAGCGGCCGAUGUCGGAUUAGCUAGUUGGUGGGGUAAAGGCUCACCAAGGCAACGAUCCGUAGCUGGUUCGAGAGGACGACCAGCCACACUGGGACUGAGACACGGCCCAGACUCCUACGGGAGGCAGCAGUAGGGAAUUUUGGGCAAUGGGGGAAACCCUGAUCCAGCAAUCCCGCGUGUGUGAGAAGGCCUUCGGGUUGUAAAGUACUUUUGGCAGAGAAGCGGUAUCUACAGAAUAAGCACCGGCUAACUACGUGCCAGCAGCCGCGGUAAUAC
RNAcentral lists this ribosomal RNA (405 nucleotides) under uncultured bacterium. RNAcentral describes it as "partial 16S ribosomal RNA". It matches the Rfam family "Bacterial small subunit ribosomal RNA", at positions 30 to 526 of the family's 1533-position model. The record is from RNAcentral.